GAUGAACGCUGGCGGCGUGCCUAAUACAUGCAAGUCGAGCGAACAGACGAGGAGCUUGCUCCUCUGACGUUAGCGGCGGACGGGUGAGUAACACGUGGAUAACCUACCUAUAAGACUGGGAUAACUUCGGGAAACCGGAGCUAAUACCGGAUAAUAUAUUGAACCGCAUGGUUCAAUAGGGAAAGACGGUUUUGCUGUCACUUAUAGAUGGAUCCGCGCCGCAUUAGCUAGUUGGUAAGGUAACGGCUUACCAAGGCAACGAUGCGUAGCCGACCUGAGAGGGUGAUCGGCCACACUGGAACUGAGACACGGUCCAGACUCCUACGGGAGGCAGCAGUAGGGAAUCUUCCGCAAUGGGCGAAAGCUUGACGGAGCAACGCCGCGUGAGUGAUGAAGGUCUUCGGAUCGUAAAACUCUGUUAUUAGGGAAGACCAAAUGUGUAAGUAACUAUGCACGUCUUGACGGUACCUAAUCAGAAAGCCACGGCUAACUACGUG
This 497-nucleotide ribosomal RNA is filed under the name uncultured bacterium. RNAcentral's name for it is "partial 16S ribosomal RNA". It matches the Rfam family "Bacterial small subunit ribosomal RNA", at positions 28 to 507 of the family's 1533-position model. The record is from RNAcentral.